RNAcentral lists this ribosomal RNA (477 nucleotides) under uncultured bacterium. RNAcentral's name for it is "partial 16S ribosomal RNA". It matches the Rfam family "Bacterial small subunit ribosomal RNA", at positions 28 to 507 of the family's 1533-position model. The record is from RNAcentral.
GAUGAACGCUGGCGGCGUGCCUAACACAUGCAAGUCGAACGGAGUCCAGCCUUUAAGACCUUCGGGUCAAAGAGGGGACGACUGAGUGGCGGACGGGUGAGUAACACGUGGGCAACCUGGCUCAUAGAGGGGGAUAACAGAGAGAAAUUUCUGCUAAUACCGCAUAAGCACACACUGCCGCAUGGCAGAGGGUGAAAAGAGAAUCGCUAUGAGAUGGACCCGCGUCUGAUUAGCCAGUUGGCAGGGUAAGAGCCUACCAAAGCGACGAUCAGUAGCCGAUCUGAGAGGAUGAACGGCAACAUUGGGACGGAGACACGGCCCAAACUCCUACGGGAGGCAGCAGUGGGGAAUAUGGCACAAUGGGGGAACCCUGAUGCAGCGACGCCGCGUGAGUGAAGAAGUAUUUCGGUAUGUAAAGCUCUAUCAGCAGGGAAGAUAAUGACAGUACCUGAAUAAGAAGCCCCGGCUAACUACGUG